AAUGUGGUGGCAGAUUAGUGCUGCAGAUUUAAACCCUGCCUAAGAAAAAUUUUCCCUCAUUA
This 62-nucleotide transfer RNA is filed under the name Pontoscolex corethrurus. RNAcentral's name for it is "tRNA-Leu". The record is from RNAcentral. Lineage: Eukaryota; Metazoa; Annelida; Clitellata; Crassiclitellata; Glossoscolecidae.